Molecule: ribosomal RNA, 497 nt
Filed under: uncultured bacterium
Lineage: Bacteria
Description: partial 16S ribosomal RNA
Rfam family: Bacterial small subunit ribosomal RNA
Source: RNAcentral
GACGAACGCUGGCGGCGUGCCUAAUACAUGCAAGUUGAGCGCUGAAGGUUGGUACUUGUACCAACUGGAUGAGCAGCGAACGGGUGAGUAACGCGUGGGGAAUCUGCCUUUGAGCGGGGGACAACAUUUGGAAACGAAUGCUAAUACCGCAUAAAAACUUUAAACACAAGUUUUAAGUUUGAAAGAUGCAAUUGCAUCACUCAAAGAUGAUCCCGCGUUGUAUUAGCUAGUUGGUGAGGUAAAGGCUCACCAAGGCGAUGAUACAUAGCCGACCUGAGAGGGUGAUCGGCCACAUUGGGACUGAGACACGGCCCAAACUCCUGCGGGAGGCAGCAGUAGGGAAUCUUCGGCAAUGGACGAAAGUCUGACCGAGCAACGCCGCGUGAGUGAAGAAGGUUGUCGGAUCGUAAAAAUCUGUUGGUAGAGAAGAACGUUGGUGAGAGUGGAAAGCUCAUAAAGUGACGGUAACUACCCAGAAAGGGACGGCUAACUACGUG